Molecule: long non-coding RNA, 333 nt
Organism: Talpa occidentalis (Iberian mole)
Lineage: Eukaryota; Metazoa; Chordata; Mammalia; Eulipotyphla; Talpidae
Exons: 3
Source: RefSeq, a predicted model, not a curated record
GUCCCUUCCAGUUCCAUUCCUGUUGCUGCAAAUGGGCCUCUUUGGAAAUACUGGAGAACUUUUACCCAUGACAGAAAACAUAUCUGUUCUGCUUCCUACUCCCUUGAAUGAGGGCAGGAGAUCAGGCAAAAUUGAAUUUUGUGAACUUUCAAAAUUAAAAACCUUUUCCUGGAUUCUGAAGACCCCACUAAAGUGUCAUCAAGGGAGGAGGCCUAGUCCACCUGCUUCUUCUGAUGUCCCUCUUCCUCUGUAUUAUUAGUAUACUACUACUAAUAAUAAUCCAGAGUCUGUAGUAUUAGUAUCCUACAGUAUCCAUGAAAUGGAGCUAAUGUC